This 1343-nucleotide ribosomal RNA is filed under the name uncultured bacterium. RNAcentral's name for it is "16S ribosomal RNA". It matches the Rfam family "Bacterial small subunit ribosomal RNA", at positions 28 to 1378 of the family's 1533-position model. The record is from RNAcentral.
GACGAACGCUGGCGGCGUGCUUAACACAUGCAAGUCGAACGGAAAGGCCCUGCUUUUGUGGGGUGCUCGAGUGGCGAACGGGUGAGUAACACGUGAGUAACCUGCCCUUGACUUUGGGAUAACUUCAGGAAACUGGGGCUAAUACCGGAUAGGAGCUCCUGCUGCAUGGUGGGGGUUGGAAAGUUUCGGCGGUUGGGGAUGGACUCGCGGCUUAUCAGCUUGUUGGUGGGGUAGUGGCUUACCAAGGCUUUGACGGGUAGCCGGCCUGAGAGGGUGACCGGCCACAUUGGGACUGAGAUACGGCCCAGACUCCUACGGGAGGCAGCAGUGGGGAAUAUUGCACAAUGGGCGGAAGCCUGAUGCAGCAACGCCGCGUGCGGGAUGACGGCCUUCGGGUUGUAAACCGCUUUCGCCUGUGACGAAGCGUGAGUGACGGUAAUGGGUAAAGAAGCACCGGCUAACUACGUGCCAGCAGCCGCGGUGAUACGUAGGGUGCGAGCGUUGUCCGGAUUUAUUGGGCGUAAAGGGCUCGUAGGUGGUUGAUCGCGUCGGAAGUGUAAUCUUGGGGCUUAACCCUGAGCGUGCUUUCGAUACGGGUUGACUUGAGGAAGGUAGGGGAGAAUGGAAUUCCUGGUGGAGCAGUGGAAUGCGCAGAUAUCAGGAGGAACACCAGUGGCGAAGGCGGUUCUCUGGGCCUUUCCUGACGCUGAGGAGCGAAAGCGUGGGGAGCGAACAGGCUUAGAUACCCUGGUAGUCCACGCUGUAAACGGUGGGUACUAGGUGUGGGGUCCAUUCCACGGGUUCCGUGCCGUAGCUAACGCUUUAAGUACCCCGCCUGGGGAGUACGGCCGCAAGGCUAAAACUCAAAGGAAUUGACGGGGCCCCGCACAAGCGGCGGAGCAUGCGGAUUAAUUCGAUGCAACGCGUAGAACCUUACCUGGGUUUGACAUGGAUCGGGAGCGCUCAGAGAUGGGUGUGCCUCUUUUGGGGUCGGUUCACAGGUGGUGCAUGGCUGUCGUCAGCUCGUGUCGUGAGAUGUUGGGUUAAGUCCCGCAACGAGCGCAACCCUUGUUCACUGUUGCCAGCACGUUAUGGUGGGGACUCAGUGGAGACCGCCGGGGUCAACUCGGAGGAAGGUGGGGAUGACGUCAAGUCAUCAUGCCCCUUAUGUCCAGGGCUUCACGCAUGCUACAAUGGCUGGUACAGAGAGUGGCGAGCCUGUGAGGGUGAGCGAAUCUCGGAAAGCCGGUCUCAGUUCGGAUUGGGGCCUGCAACUCGACCUCAUGAAGUCGGAGUCGCUAGUAAUCGCAGAUCAGCAACGCUGCGGUGAAUACGUUCCCGGG